RNAcentral lists this long non-coding RNA (1683 nucleotides) under Bemisia tabaci. Its description in RNAcentral is "lncRNA ENSSSA1UGG007494". Lineage: Eukaryota; Metazoa; Arthropoda; Insecta; Hemiptera; Aleyrodidae. The record is from RNAcentral.
GAGUUGACUCCUGAACUUUCCGUCGUGGGAAUUGUGAAUGUUUGAAUGAAAACAUGAGACGUUCCUUUUUAGUUCAGAUCUUGGCUAGUGACCUAUCGUGCUUGGCUUGUGUUUUGAAAGAAAAGGUUGUCAUUUCGGAUCUCUGUUUCAGGACAUAGAGUAUGGUAAGAUAAUUUGAUGUGAUCAGUGAUAAGGGUGCGUGGUGAUGAUGGUGUGGAUGUAAACAACGAGAAUUGGAUUACAUCCGCCACCACUGGACAUUUUAAUCAUACUUCGGUUUGAGCAGGAUAAAAGAGCUCAAAUAAGGACGAAAACAUCAAAGCCAGAGACCACUCGACUCGCCAGGGAGACAGCGGGCAGCGUGCGAGUGACAACGGGGAGGCCUACGGGAACCAGCUCCGGGAUCAAAAAGAACUCUGUAAAUACUUCAAAAAGCUCGAUCAGCUCGUCCUCCAGACCUACUUUGUCGACGAAACGAACGGAGGCGACCCCGAAAACCCCGCCUGGUGUAGAUUCAAAGACGAGAAAUAAUGUAUCGACCAAAGUGCCAAAUGCUAUCUACAAGGCGGAUUCGAACUCGAGACCUCCGACAAGUGUCCCAAGCUCGAAAACUACCACACUCCGAUCAACAACUCAGGUGGCUCAAGACAGGGCCUCCAAAAGUGGACCAAAAGGAUUCACAUCCAAUUCGACGAAACCCUCAGUUUCUUGGAAACCGGAGACGAGCAGAUCUCAACAACCAGCGCCUCGACAGAGCACUUCCAGCAAAGUUUCCAGUCGGCCGACCGUGAAAUGAAAGAGGAGAUGGAUCGAAUAUCAUCUUCCAGCCAAGAGAGCCUUCACUACUCGGACGAUUUUGAGGACUACGAAUCCGACUUCGAGGAGUACGUGGGGUCGGACGACGAUGACGUGGUGGAGAAAACCCCUCGGCAGGAGGAAAAGCCGACCGGAAAAGCGGCUUUCGGUGAGGAAAUGACCCACGAUUCCGGGACCUACGACAUGACGGCUGCUCCACACCGCACGGACCACAUGCAGACGAUACAAGAGAAAGCCAGGGCAGAGAACCUCAACUUGGAUUUCAUCACCGGCGACUUCAACUCGCUCGUGUCAAAGGAUGAGGGCUUCGAGGAUUUCAAGAAGGAGGAGAAUUCCUUAUCUUCUCUGCAGUAUCAUCAGUUCAUAACAUUCGAGACGGUCUCAAAAGAAGAACGAAAACAGAAAAAAUUACGGAAAAGCGAGCUGCGAGCGAGGAAGCUGCUGUCGAUGUUCCGGCUGGAUCAGAAAGGCGGGAUCCUCAUGAACAUGCCUCCCAUCCCUUACGAGAUCUACAUGCAGUGCUACGGACGCUCAAACACGCUCCAGAUCAGUACACAGACGGAGGAUAAUAGGCCUUCAACUGAGGUCCAAACAGAGGAGGAAGAAAAGCGAACAAAAUGGACCCAAAUUCCAGGUCCGAUCAAGGAUAACCCGAAUAACACGACGGGCUUGAACCGUGCUCCCACGCUUCAGCAAACGAGGGAAGGUGUUGGGGAUGAUUCCAUGAGGUCACAAGAGGCUAUCGCGGCUGACAUUGCGGAGCGGGGUAUUUACAAGCUGGAUGGAAAGAGGUUGGACAGGUUCCUAUCCAUUGCGGGAAAGGUAAGACAUGAAAAGAAAAUUCAAUUGAAUCGUACUAAAGUUUAA